This 1423-nucleotide long non-coding RNA is filed under the name Chrysemys picta bellii (western painted turtle). RNAcentral's name for it is "lncRNA (ENSCPBG00000012109.1)". Lineage: Eukaryota; Metazoa; Chordata; Testudines; Emydidae. The record is from RNAcentral.
UGGAGCCCGAGGACAAGGCUCCAGGCAGGUUUCUGGACACUUCAGCUUCCCAGGUAGCUCCUGCCUCAGCAUGGCUGCUCCCCCACCUGCAGAACUCGAGCAGAGCCUUAACGACCAUCUCUCCUCUUCUUUUGAGCCCACGCUGGACCUCAAGGCAGACAAAGCUACAUUACUUCCAGGCUCUGGAGUCAGUGACAUACCCCCAGAUGGGCAUGGAUGUGAGGAGGAGCUCGGCACAGGAGCAGGCGGUUCCAGACACGAUGGGGUUUGCAAACCUGAAGUGCCAGCAGCAGACAGUGCCCCAGCGGUGACAGAAGAACCAAACCCAACCGUGGAGGCACACAAGGACUCGGCUGGCAUGGACAGCAGCUACGACUUUUCGACCUCCAGCUUGGACAGCCGUUGUGAACCUGACCUGGUUCCGGUCACUGGAGACUCUCUCCCUGACAAAGGUCCCCAGUCGGAGGAUGGUGACCCCGGCUCCACAGCUUCCUUGCCCUGGCCAGAGUUGCCAGAUGAAUGUCCGCCUCGGCCUAACACCCUGGAUUUCUCCAACUCUCUCAAAUUCCUGGAGGAGGUGAAGCAGAUGGGGCAGAGGAGGAACAGUGACCACUUGAACAUCCAGGAGAAUGGGGUGGAGAGCUGCCCUGAGGCACCUCCCAUCAGUGAGGAGAGGAGGGCUCUGGAGUCGGAGCUGGGGAAGUGCAUCGAAGACUUCAGGAAGAUCAAGAUCCCCGUCUCCUUCCCCAACAAGAAGCGGCAGUGGCAAAGUGAACUACUGAAAAAAUACCACGUCUGAGGGGAGGGGCUGGGACUGACGCCUCCCACCACCCAGGACUGACUGGCUUCCACAGCCACAAGAGGCACCUUCCCCUGCAUCCUGUCCAUGAUGGGCCAGCCUGCCAGGUGCUGGGUGUCCUUGGCCCCCAUUGAUGGCCAGGAGCAGCUCAGCAUCUUGUAGGCCAAGAGGGACUUGUGAGAGCCUCUUACUUUAAACCAGUUAUUUGGCGACACUGGGACUAACUGAUUUGCAUCCUGUCUGAUCUCGUUGACUUUACCUAGGUCACUCAGGGGUAAUCGACAACAGGGUUUGGUCCAUGUAUUCAAAACUAAGAGCAGUGGUUUCUUGGUCAAUGCAUCAUUCCAGGAAUUGGUGCUCCACAGGCAGAGAUUAUAAGGCUACAGCUUGCUUGUUCCCAGGGGAGUCAAGGGUGAAAUGUGCAUGAAAGGAGCUGUACAAAUCCUAGAAGUGAAAAUAUUUGAAGGAGUCAGGAUGGGAAGGAGGAAACUGAUGUUGGUUCAGGUUGUCUGUAGGGACAAACCUACACCCAAGCAAUAUGGACAUUCCUGCCUUUAUGACAGCAUGACUGUGAUUGGAGCUCCCGGGGUUAAUAAAUGUAAACAAUGAUGAAACCUAAUUCCA